UACGGGGGGGGCAAGCGUUGUUCGGAAUUACUGGGCGUAAAGGGUGCGUAGGCGGUCUGUUAAGUUAGAUGUGAAAACUCUGGGCUCAACCCAGAGCCUGCAUCUAAAACUGGCAGGCUAGAGUUCUGGAGGGGGUAGCGGAAUUCCUGGUGUAGCGGUGAAAUGCGUAGAUAUCAGGAGGAACACCGGUGGCGAAGGCGGCUACCUGGACAGAAACUGACGCUGAGGCACGAAAGCUAGGGGAGCAAACAGG
This 253-nucleotide ribosomal RNA is filed under the name Acidobacterium sp. RNAcentral describes it as "partial 16S ribosomal RNA". It matches the Rfam family "Bacterial small subunit ribosomal RNA", at positions 524 to 776 of the family's 1533-position model. RNAcentral also lists the same sequence under 1 other name. Lineage: Bacteria; Pseudomonadati; Acidobacteriota; Terriglobia; Terriglobales; Acidobacteriaceae. The record is from RNAcentral.